RNAcentral lists this ribosomal RNA (112 nucleotides) under Saimiri boliviensis boliviensis (Bolivian squirrel monkey). Lineage: Eukaryota; Metazoa; Chordata; Mammalia; Primates; Cebidae. The record is from RNAcentral.
GCUUCACAAUAAAGAGUAUUUUAAAACUCAUCAGAUCUCGGAAGCAAAGCAGGGUCGGGCCUGGUUAGUACAUGGAUGGGAGACUGCCUGGGAAUAUGCGGUGCUGUAGGCU